RNAcentral lists this long non-coding RNA (291 nucleotides) under Nicotiana benthamiana. RNAcentral's name for it is "long non-coding RNA (NBEN_LNC006231)". The record is from RNAcentral. Lineage: Eukaryota; Viridiplantae; Streptophyta; Magnoliopsida; Solanales; Solanaceae.
CAUCCCUACCCCAUAUCCCUAUGUUUUGGUGUUGUAUGCUUGUAUGAGUACUUUCCAUGUACAUCCCUUCCCCAAAUACCCAUAGCUUAAAUCUGUUUGUUGCAAUUAUUUUUAUGUCAAUCCCUUCCCCUUAAUUCCCAAUUUAUGUGUGAGUAUUAUUUUAGACUAGGGUGGCACUCCAUUGCCACCCCUAGUUUGGAAUCAGGUUGCUCUAAACCUAUACUCAGAUCACUCCCAUUCCCUUAACCCAUACUAUAUGUUGAGCUUGACUCAGCUCGGUGCUGUCCUAAU